RNAcentral lists this transfer RNA (72 nucleotides) under Dudusa sphingiformis. Its description in RNAcentral is "tRNA-Cys". The record is from RNAcentral. Lineage: Eukaryota; Metazoa; Arthropoda; Insecta; Lepidoptera; Notodontidae.
AGUCUUAUAGUCAAUAUAUAUGAUAUAAAAUUGCAAAUUUUAAGGGGUAUAAAUAAAGUUAUAUUAAGGCUU